ACCCCCGGAGGCCGACUGGACCCCCGGAGGCCGACUGGACCCCCGGAGGCGUGGACCAGAGGCUGAGGCUGGAAGGACCAGGUUGGACCAGGAACCGAAGCUGGAGACCAGAGAAAUGCCCCACGGGAUCGGACCAGAGGGAACCUCAGAUGCAGAAGGUGUCGAGUGUGGCAGCUACACCUGGGAUUCCUGGCUGACGGAGGAGUCGUGCUGGAGGAGGUCCUGCCUGGUGGAGGCGGUCCAUCGUGGGGCAGAUGGAGCCUGACUCUAACGCCAGGACUCUGUGGCGUGGAGGAGCUGGGACUCCUGAGGACAGCCAGGACUCCACCAACAAGGAUUCCUCGACAUGAGCUGGACCAGAGAACCGCUGGUGGGGAGCCGUAGAUCUGGAGGAAGACCAUGACUCUACCAGCAAGUAUUCCAUAGGAAUUACAUAACAGGGUGGCCUUAAAGGGCAAACUACUGCUGUUACUACAAGUUAUGCCAAACGACAUGUUUAAUCAAAUGUUGUAGCCAGACCUCCGCCGUGUUUGUUACAGACCAGGACUCCGUGGCUGAGGAGCUGUGAGUCUGGAGGAAGAACAGGACUCUGUCUACAGGUCUGUAACCAGACCGGGAAUCUGGACAACUGAUGGAGAAACCAUACCUCUGACCAGGACUCCGUGGCAGAAGAGGGCUGAUGGAGGAGCUCUGACUCCGGAGAUCGACCAUGACUCUACUAGCAAGUAGUCCUUGACGCUGGUGAAAUCCGGUUUGGUCCAGGACCCACACCUGAUCUGAACCCAACCUGAUCCUGUUUGUUCCUGUCCCCUCAUCCUCAAGAAGAACUGCUGAGCUUCAGCAGUCUGAGGCUGAUGGAUCAAUUAACUCCAGUCUGAAUAACCUUGAACCCACAUGUACCCGUGUACUUCCACACUGCUUUCCCUCAUGUCUGUCACUAACUAACCUCACUACUUCACUGUCCUCUCUACUCCCUUCCGUUCCUCUUGCUUCUCCAUGGUUCGAACCAGCACUCUGAAUGAGUGUCUUCUUGCCCUCAGAGGGUUCAGUGUUAGGGUUGAGAGUCAGGGUUUAGAGUCAGGGACAGAGCUGGUUAGGGAGGAAGGGUUUUUGCACAUGCCUCUUCACUUGCUUGCUGAAUUGUUUUGACAUUUUGAAAUGAUUCAUUGGGAAAAUAUUUUACUGUGCUAUUACUGACAAAUAAAUAUUGAAGUUGUACCAAAUGUCUUUUAUAAAUGUAAAUCCUACAUUGUGACUUAAGAUAUUUGAUUCUGUAAUUUGCCUUGGCUAUUGUCAAGCUAAACAUUUUAAUACAUUGCAUAUAUUUCAUGCAUAUUAUUCACGUAAUAGUUAAUAUAUGAUACAACUUCCAUAUAAACUACACAAUUCCAGUAUUCAUUUAGGUACCGACCCACACAGGCCAUUAAUCUACCACCGUAACCAUUCCAGAAUCAAACCAAUACAGGAUAACUAGGACAUUGGAGAACGAGGUUUCACAAGAACGGCACCAAUAAUGUGUCAUGCCGACCUCAUUUUGGGCAAAAUCAUUUCUACAGGCCUGCGUCCACGUUACCUGACGGAAGGUUCUGUCUGAAGGGUUAAAAAGAUGGCUGACAUUCUAAGUUGAAAAUCCAAUAUUCUGAAU
This is a long non-coding RNA of Gadus chalcogrammus (walleye pollock), 1645 nucleotides long. RefSeq lists it as uncharacterized. NCBI's taxonomy places the organism in Eukaryota, Metazoa, Chordata, Actinopteri, Gadiformes, Gadidae. The record is from RefSeq and is a predicted model, not a curated record. The transcript has 7 exons.